Molecule: ribosomal RNA, 164 nt
Filed under: Cacosmia rugosa
Lineage: Eukaryota; Viridiplantae; Streptophyta; Magnoliopsida; Asterales; Asteraceae
Also listed under: 22 other names
Description: 5.8S ribosomal RNA
Rfam family: 5.8S ribosomal RNA
About the family: 5.8S ribosomal RNA (5.8S rRNA) is a component of the large subunit of the eukaryotic ribosome. It is transcribed by RNA polymerase I as part of the 45S precursor that also contains 18S and 28S rRNA.
Source: RNAcentral
CAAACGACUCUCGGCAACGGAUAUCUCGGCUCACGCAUCGAUGAAGAACGUAGCAAAAUGCGAUACUUGGUGUGAAUUGCAGAAUCCCGUGAACCAUCGAGUUUUUGAACGCAAGUUGCGCCCAAAGCCAUUUGGUUGAGGGCACGUCUGCCUGGGCGUCACGC